AAUGGGCGAAAGCCUGAUGCAGCAACGCCGCGUGUGUGAUGAAGGCCUUCGGGUCGUAAAGCACUUUUCUGGGAGAUGAGAAAGGACAGUAUCCCAGGAAUAAGUCUCGGCUAACUACGUGCCAGCAGCCGCGGUAAAACGUAGGAGGCGAGCGUUAUCCGGAUUCACUGGGCGUAAAGCGCGUGCAGGUGGCGCGGUAAGUUAGGCGUGAAAUCUCCCGGCUCAACUGGGGGAGGUCGUCUAAUACUACCGUGCUUGAGAGCAGAAGAGGAAGAUGGAAUUCCCGGUGUAGUGGUGAAAUGCGUAGAUAUCGGGAGGAACACCAGUGGCGAAGGCGAUCUUCUGGUCUGUUUCUGACACUCAGACGCGACAGCUAGGGUAGUAAACGGGAUUAGAGACCCCGGUAAUCCUAGCCGUAAACGAUGUGAACUUGGCGUUGGUGGGUUAAACUCCAUCAGUGCCGUAGCAAACGCGAUAAGUUCACCGCCUGGGGACUACGGCCGCAAGGUUA
This 511-nucleotide ribosomal RNA is filed under the name uncultured Chloroflexota bacterium. RNAcentral describes it as "bacterial SSU rRNA". It matches the Rfam family "Bacterial small subunit ribosomal RNA", at positions 370 to 896 of the family's 1533-position model. The record is from RNAcentral. Lineage: Bacteria; Bacillati; Chloroflexota.